This 74-nucleotide transfer RNA is filed under the name Chlorobiales bacterium. It matches the Rfam family "tRNA". From Rfam's summary of the family: Transfer RNA (tRNA) molecules are approximately 80 nucleotides in length. The record is from Rfam by way of RNAcentral. Lineage: Bacteria; Pseudomonadati; Chlorobiota; Chlorobiia; Chlorobiales.
GGACAAUUAGCUCAGUUGGUUAGAGCGUUCGCUUCACACGCGAAAGGUCGUAGGUUCGACUCCUACAUUGUCCA